RNAcentral lists this long non-coding RNA (257 nucleotides) under Lathyrus oleraceus (garden pea). RNAcentral's name for it is "Pisum sativum (pea) long non-coding RNA (PSAT_LNC030853)". Lineage: Eukaryota; Viridiplantae; Streptophyta; Magnoliopsida; Fabales; Fabaceae. The record is from RNAcentral.
GAUUGGCAGUUGACUUCCCUGUUUUGUUUUUUUUUUUUAUUCUGAUGGAGAUUAGUGUAAGUCCAUAGAGUGGCUUCUGAUAUCCUUACUUGUUUUAGGAGACAGGUAUAAGACCAUUGAGUGGCAUCCAGUAUCCGCUUUUAUUUACUUUCAUCUGUUACCAUGUUCAUAUCAUUGCUCAUUUGUAGCCUAUUCCUAAGGACCCACUUGAAUCAUCUUCUAUAUGAUUUCAAGAGGUGGACCCUCCUAAGAAGUUU